UCUGCAGCUGCCCUCAUCCAGCCCACCUGUUUGCACUGAUUACUGAUUUAUAGGGCUGUCUCUGCUCCCUCCUGGCUGGCUCCACUCUCUCAGGAUGUAAGCAGCUUGUGGGUCAGCUCGUUCCUCACCUUGUUUCACAUCCUCUCAGCCCGACACUGCUAUGGCCCCUUUCCUGCGGGACAUUCCAGGGCUCUUUCUUUCUUCCCUGGAGACCAUGCGAGUCCAGGAUUGUAAGGAAUGUUCCCAGACAGCUUCCAGGGAUCGGACAGACACCGAAGCCCCCCAAGAUCGGAACGGGAUCCCGGAGGGGGAUCUCAGGGGUCCCGGGAUCCCAUCGGCGGUGCCGGGCGCGGGACGGCAGCACCACCUGGUGGAAGCGGGAGGUAGUGCAUGUUCGGAUCCGGUUCGGUCCAUCUCGGCGUCCGGUGUGACUCUCUCCUCCUGCGGAGAGGGGUUUGGAUGACUCGCUCUUGUUUGCAAGGGGCUCCGUCACAUAAUUGUCGUCAGCGCAUGGGAUGGGGUCCUCAUAGUGACCUGUACUUUCAUACCUGGAAGAAGCUGCUGCUCUCAAGUUAUGGCUGAAAUCAAAAUAUAAUGUGGAAGAAGAGUUGAGACCAGAGUAAUCAUCAGACAAAUCAUCUCCCCCAGGCAUAAGGAUUUUAAACAAGGUUGUAAUUUGAUUCAUGUAAACAUGGGCCACUGGAUUAUGUUAUGGCUCUUGUCCUCUGCUUCCAGGUGGCAGGAAAACCUUGGACAUUACAGCAGCACUGCCUGCAGCCCAGGAGGAGUUUCAGAGGCACUAGAAGGUCUCAAGAGGCCACAUUUUGAUGAGGAGUUAAUAAACAGCUCCUGCUCUUUGCUUAGGAUUCUUAUUUUGUGAAGAAAAAGAUCUUUAUUUUUACAUUACAUGUUGCUGUGGAAAGCCCACAGCCCAUCAGUACAAUGUAUGACUGAGCUAACUUUGCACAUCUUCAUCUGUACUGCUUAAGAGGCUUUUCACCUUGACAGGUAAGUGAACUAUGCCUCUGUAGAUCCUCCACCACCUGUUCCAAUCCAUGCAUUUGACCAGCUCCUGGAUGAUGCCAAAGCACAGCACCAGCCCCAUCCCUAGGCCCCUCAAAGGAGAAAGAACACAUUGAAGUUUUCUAGAAUGCUCCACUCACCAUCCUUGGGCUUUCUAAUGCAAAUGAUAAGGAAGAUGACAACAAAAACCACAGCACUGCAAACCACGGCAAUCAAGAUGACCAGGAACAGGGAGAGGUGAGACCCCUGGAGACCUAGAGCAACAGAAGACUUUCACACUGAGAAGCCCCCUCGAGGUCGCAGCAGCACUUUAGUGAUUCCAGCCACUUCCCUGAGGACAGCAGCAGCCAUGGAUAUGGGACACAGGGCUGUGCUGCAUGUGCCUCAUCCUGGCAGCACCCUGGGAGGAGGCUCUGAUGAGUGACAUUGCAGACUCACUGCUCACAUCUCUUCAGGAGACUGGGGCCACAAGGAGAACCAGCAGAGUCUCCUAAUACAACUGGCAGCCAAAAGGCAGAACAAUAGUUCUGAGGCUAAAGGUACUGACUACUGAGUUUGGGUCCCUCAUUUUCUUCUUAGCUUUGCUUUGCUCGCCACUUACUCUGAGUUGUGUAAUUUUUUUCUGGAUAUACCACACCACUCUCUGGAGUCACUACUGCUACAGGCAGAUCUGCAGAAAAAAGAGGAGUGAAAGGUUCACAGUGCAUUUCCAGACAUUUUA
Molecule: long non-coding RNA, 1744 nt
Organism: Calypte anna (Anna's hummingbird)
Lineage: Eukaryota; Metazoa; Chordata; Aves; Apodiformes; Trochilidae
Exons: 4
Source: RefSeq, a predicted model, not a curated record